GCAGAUGUGGCGGAAUAGGCAGACGCGCUAUCUUGAGGGGGUAGUGAGAGGUUCUCGUACGGGUUCAAGUCCCGUUAUCUGCACCA
Molecule: transfer RNA, 86 nt
Filed under: Clostridium sp.
Lineage: Bacteria; Bacillati; Bacillota; Clostridia; Eubacteriales; Clostridiaceae
Also listed under: 1 other name
Description: tRNA-Leu
Rfam family: tRNA
About the family: Transfer RNA (tRNA) molecules are approximately 80 nucleotides in length. Their secondary structure includes four short double-helical elements and three loops (D, anti-codon, and T loops). Further hydrogen bonds mediate the characteristic L-shaped molecular structure. tRNAs have two regions of fundamental functional importance: the anti-codon, which is responsible for specific mRNA codon recognition, and the 3' end, to which the tRNAs corresponding amino acid is attached (by aminoacyl-tRNA synthetases). tRNAs cope with the degeneracy of the genetic code in two manners: having more than one tRNA (with a specific anti-codon) for a particular amino acid; and 'wobble' base-pairing, i.e. permitting non-standard base-pairing at the 3rd anti-codon position.
Source: RNAcentral